Molecule: long non-coding RNA, 1291 nt
Filed under: Sus scrofa (pig)
Lineage: Eukaryota; Metazoa; Chordata; Mammalia; Artiodactyla; Suidae
Description: lncRNA (ENSSSCG00000041524.2)
Source: RNAcentral
GGGGUGGUUGAACUGGUUUUUGUUUUGUGUGGCCGAAGCCAAAAAUCCCAGUGCCCAAGAACCGGGGAAUGAUGUUUAGGGGUCUAAAACGGGUCGGUGCUAGGCUUCGACUCCUUGUUCUGCGACACUAGAGUCCGCGCUGGAAGGAUAGAGCAAGACCCUCGGAGUUGCAUCACCUCUGGAAGAAACUCCGUAGGCGCGCAUCCAUUGACUGAGCCGCGUCUCUCGGCACCCCCAGCAUUUCCCAGAGUGCAACAACACCACCCGAGAUCAAUGACCAGUCUGUUUAUUCUUGACGCGCCGGGAAGAGCAAGGCACUGAAGGAGCAUGGGAGGAAGACUUGGGGCUUGCCUCUUGGCGACCUCUCGCAGACUUUUUCUAGCUGGAUUUCUAAACGGCAGCUAGCAAGCAAAUAGAGUUCCUCAAUGCACGCCAUCACAUACCAAUGACGAUAUAUUCAUCUAGAAAUGUGAUACAUCCUUUUUCCCCCCACCCCCUUUCACCUUUUGUCGAUUUGUCUCUGGAGGUGGAUUGCUAAUACCUGAGAUUUUGCACUUGUCUAGGGCGGAAACUUUCUGGGGUGUUUGACGAUUGAUUAUUUGGUACCUGCUUUCUAAAAAUGGCUAAACACCUUUCCUUGGAACAAAAGUGAGAAAUGCAAAUCCUAAUAACUCAAGGCAAAAAUUUCAAAGUGUAAGCACAGUUAUUAUCCACUCCCACAAAGAAAAGCUUACUCUUCCACAAAUAUUUGAUAGCAUAGAGCCCAGUAAUUAAGAGAACAAUCAAAUAAACUCAAGGCUUUCAUGGGGACUCUAAAUUAUCAUCUGCCUAGAAUUUAUAAGCGGUGUAAUCAUUUGCCAACUUGGAUAUAGCUCUAGAUAUAGCAUUCUAAAUGUGUAUCCUUAAACAGUUAAGUUUUCUUAAGUAUUUAAUGAGCGAGAUCACGGAUAAUAAUAAUAUUCAAAUUGCUGGAUCAAUGUGGCCUCACCAACUGUGUGAAAAAAUUCCCUUCAUGUGUGCAUGAAACGUCUUGCCUAUAUGUUACCUUUCCUAACAUUUCCUAUGCAUGCAAGCAAGCUUCAAGUCUGAGCCACUUGCAUAAUAAGAAUAUAAGAAUACCUAAGAAUGCAUCAAUAAUUGUGCUGUACCUUGAAUUUAAGUGUAAUUUUUAUGCUAAAGAGUUCUUGGCAUAUAUUACAUGAUUUAUCCUCAUAAUACAUAUGUAGUUGCUUUUCACAGCUCUUAGUAUGAAGGUCCUUAUAUAAUGUAAAAGAAGCAAAUCAGGCCAACU